Molecule: transfer RNA, 76 nt
Filed under: Bacillota bacterium
Lineage: Bacteria; Bacillati; Bacillota
Also listed under: 7 other names
Description: Firmicutes bacterium (gut metagenome) tRNA-Thr
Rfam family: tRNA
About the family: Transfer RNA (tRNA) molecules are approximately 80 nucleotides in length. Their secondary structure includes four short double-helical elements and three loops (D, anti-codon, and T loops). Further hydrogen bonds mediate the characteristic L-shaped molecular structure. tRNAs have two regions of fundamental functional importance: the anti-codon, which is responsible for specific mRNA codon recognition, and the 3' end, to which the tRNAs corresponding amino acid is attached (by aminoacyl-tRNA synthetases). tRNAs cope with the degeneracy of the genetic code in two manners: having more than one tRNA (with a specific anti-codon) for a particular amino acid; and 'wobble' base-pairing, i.e. permitting non-standard base-pairing at the 3rd anti-codon position.
Source: RNAcentral
GCUGAUAUAGCUCAGUCGGUAGAGCGCAUCCUUGGUAAGGAUGAGGUCUCCAGUUCAAAUCUGGAUAUCAGCUCCA